GAGACUCUGUGCGCGUGCAUAUCAAUAAGCGGAGGAAAAGAAACUAACUAGGAUUCCCUCAGUAACGGCGAGUGAAGCGGGAAGAGCUCAAAUUUGAAAUCUUCAAGGUUCUACCUUGACGAAUUGUAGUUUAUAGAAGUGUUUUCUGUUAGUAGAGUGGCAAAAGUUCUUUGGAAUAGGACAUCAUAGAGGGUGAGAAUCCCGUAUUUGGUCAUUCCUCCUAGCUUUGUGAUACACUUUCAACGAGUCGGAUUGUUUGGGAAUGCAGUCCAAAAUGGGUGGUAAAUUUCAUCUAAAGCUAAAUAUUGGCGAGAGACCGAUAGCGAACAAGUACCGUGAGGGAAAGAUGAAAAGAACUUUGAAAAGAGAGUUAAACAGUACGUGAAAUUGUCAAAAGGGAAGCGUUUGACACCAGUGUUGUUUUUCCGAAAAUCAAUUACGAAUGUUUUGUUUUUGAGAAGUUAUGACUUCAUCGGCUUGCUUCUUUCUUUACGAAACUUUCUUAAUGCACUUUUCGGUUAACAAGUCAACAUCAAUUUCUAUUGUUGUAAAAGGGUAUGAGGAAGGUGGCUUUCUUUUCGGAGAAAGUGUUUAUAGCCUUGUACCUCUGCAAUCGGAGAGAUUGAGGUCUGCAGCGUAGAUCCUUCGGGGUUAGAUACAUUUGUGCUAAGUUAUAGCUUUUCAUAGACAACUUGUUGACUAUGUUUAGUCUUGUAGCUUACUCGCUUAUGCUAUUUUACCUACGCUUAGGAUGUUGAGUCGUAGAGCACGCAG
This 774-nucleotide ribosomal RNA is filed under the name uncultured Neocallimastigales. RNAcentral's name for it is "partial large subunit ribosomal RNA". It matches the Rfam family "Eukaryotic large subunit ribosomal RNA", at positions 23 to 628 of the family's 3401-position model. Lineage: Eukaryota; Fungi; Neocallimastigomycota; Neocallimastigomycetes; Neocallimastigales. The record is from RNAcentral.